AACGAACGCUGGCGGCAUGCCUAACACAUGCAAGUCGAACGAGACCUUCGGGUCUAGUUGCGCACGGGUGCGUAACGCGUGGGAACCUGCCCUUAGGUUCGGAAUAACUCUCCGAAAGGGGUGCUAAUAUCGGAUAAUGUCUUCGGACCAAAGAUUUAUCGCCCUUGGAUGGGCCCGCGUUGGAUUAGCCUGUUGGUAGUGUAAGAGCCUACCACGGCGACGAUCCAUAGCUGGUUUGAGAGAAUGAUCAGCGACACUGGGACUGGGACACGGCCCAGACUCCUACGGGAGGCAGCAGUGGGGAAUAUUGGACAAUGGGCGAAGGCCUGAUCCAGCAAUGCCGCGUGAGUGAUGAAGGCCUUAGGGUUGUGAAGCUCUUUUACCCGGGAUGAUAAUGACGGUACCGGGAGAAUAAGCUCCGGCUAACUCCGUG
Molecule: ribosomal RNA, 433 nt
Filed under: uncultured bacterium
Lineage: Bacteria
Description: partial 16S ribosomal RNA
Rfam family: Bacterial small subunit ribosomal RNA
Source: RNAcentral